RNAcentral lists this microRNA (20 nucleotides) under Zea mays. Its description in RNAcentral is "microRNA miR-3045b". The record is from RNAcentral. Lineage: Eukaryota; Viridiplantae; Streptophyta; Magnoliopsida; Poales; Poaceae.
UUUUGUUAAUGUUUGGAGUA